GAUGAAGAACGUAGUGAAACGCGAAAUGUAAUGUGAAUUGCAGAACCCCAGUGAAUCAUCGAAUCUUUGAACGCACCUUGCGCUCUGUGGUAGUCCGCAGAGCAUGCCUGUUUGAGUGUCGCGCCCCCCUCUCAAGCCCCGGUUCUGUGUACGCAGACGCCGGGCGCCUUGGAUCGUGGCCUUUCGUCGACUCCGAUCUGCGCGAGUCGAAGGCCGAAAGCGAACGAUGAAGCGACCUCGAGGUCGCGCGGCUUGACCGGACCGAUUGUACGCCCCCUUCGGAGCCGGGACGCGCGCCUUGGACGCUGCGAACGACGACGCACGGAUUCCUCGGAAUUCGAGUUUGACCUCAAAUCAGGCAGGACGACCCGCUGAACUUAAGCAUAUCAAUAAGCGGAGGA
RNAcentral lists this unclassified non-coding RNA (401 nucleotides) under soil metagenome. Its description in RNAcentral is "partial contains 5.8S ribosomal RNA, internal transcribed spacer 2, and large subunit ribosomal RNA". The stretch from base 1 to 121 matches the Rfam family "5.8S ribosomal RNA", at positions 35 to 154 of the family's 154-position model. The record is from RNAcentral.